Molecule: microRNA precursor, 89 nt
Organism: Lepisosteus oculatus (spotted gar)
Lineage: Eukaryota; Metazoa; Chordata; Actinopteri; Semionotiformes; Lepisosteidae
Gene: mir202
Product: microRNA 202
Source: Ensembl
GCUCGUUGUUCCUUUUUCCUAUGCAUAUACCUCUUUGAGACGUAGCUGUAAAGAGGUAUACGGCAUGGGAAAAUGGGGCUGCAGAGGUA